Molecule: ribosomal RNA, 765 nt
Filed under: uncultured Streptococcus sp.
Lineage: Bacteria; Bacillati; Bacillota; Bacilli; Lactobacillales; Streptococcaceae
Description: bacterial SSU rRNA
Rfam family: Bacterial small subunit ribosomal RNA
Source: RNAcentral
GAUGAACGCUGGCGGCGUGCCUAAUACAUGCAAGUAGAACGCUGAAGCUUGGUGCUUGCACCGAGCGGAUGAGUUGCGAACGGGUGAGUAACGCGUAGGUAACCUGCCUCUUAGCGGGGGAUAACUAUUGGAAACGAUAGCUAAUACCGCAUAAAAGACGAUAUCGCAUGAUAUUGAUUUGAAAGGUGCAAUUGCAUCACUAAGAGAUGGACCUGCGUUGUAUUAGCUAGUUGGUGAGGUAACGGCUCACCAAGGCAACGAUACAUAGCCGACCUGAGAGGGUGAUCGGCCACACUGGGACUGAGACACGGCCCAGACUCCUACGGGAGGCAGCAGUAGGGAAUCUUCGGCAAUGGGGGCAACCCUGACCGAGCAACGCCGCGUGAGUGAAGAAGGUUUUCGGAUCGUAAAGCUCUGUUGUAAGAGAAGAACGAGUGUGAGAGUGGAAAGUUCACACUGUGACGGUAACUUACCAGAAAGGGACGGCUAACUACGUGCCAGCAGCCGCGGUAAUACGUAGGUCCCGAGCGUUAUCCGGAUUUAUUGGGCGUAAAGCGAGCGCAGGCGGUUAGAUAAGUCUGAAGUUAAAGGCUGUGGCUUAACCAUAGUACGCUUUGGAAACUGUUUAACUUGAGUGCAGAAGGGGAGAGUGGAAUUCCAUGUGUAGCGGUGAAAUGCGUAGAUAUAUGGAGGAACACCGGUGGCGAAAGCGGCUCUCUGGUCUGUAACUGACGCUGAGGCUCGAAAGCGUGGGGAGCAAACAGG